This 526-nucleotide ribosomal RNA is filed under the name uncultured archaeon. RNAcentral describes it as "bacterial SSU rRNA". It matches the Rfam family "Archaeal small subunit ribosomal RNA", at positions 1 to 507 of the family's 1478-position model. The record is from RNAcentral.
UUCCGGUUGAUCCCGCCGGACCCCACUGCUAUCGAGAUGGGACUAAGGUAUGCUAGUCGAACGACCAGAACUAUGUCUGGAAGUGGCACACUGCUCAGUAACACGUAGCUAACCUACCCUUAGGACGUGGAUACCCCCGAGAAAUUGGGGUUAAUCCGCGAUAGAUGUAAUGUCCUGGAAUGGUAUUACGUCUAAAGGUAUUUCAUACAUGUUUGAAAUAUGCCUAAGGAUGGGGCUGCGGCCGAUCAGGCUGUUGGUGAGGUAAUGGCUCACCAAACCUUUGACCGGUACGGGCCAUGAGAGUGGUAGCCCGGAGAUGGACACUGAGACAAGGGUCCAGGCCCUAAGGGGCGCAGCAACCGCGAAACCUCCACAAUGCACUCACGUGCGAUGGGGCUAUCUCGAGUGCCACCUGAUGAAGGUGGCUUUUCCUUGGUCUUCAAAGCCUUGGGAAUAAGAGGGGGGCAAGACUGGUGUCAGCCGCCGCGGUAACACCAGCCCCUCGAGUGGUGGGGAUGAUUAUUUG